CAAUAGAUACCCCGGUAGUCCACCGCCGUAAACGAUGAGUGCUAAGUGUUAGAGGGUUUCCGCCCUUUAGUGCUGCAGCUAACGCAUUAAGCACGUCCGCCGUGGGGAGUACGGCCGCAAGGCUAGAAACUCAAAGGGAAUUGACGGGGGCCCGCACAAGCGGUGGAGCAUGUGGUUUAAUUCGAAGCAACGCGAAGAACCUUACCAGGUCUUGACAUCCUCUGACAACCCUAGAGAUAGGGCUUUCCCCUUCGGGGGACAGAGUGACAGGUGGUGCAUGGUUGUCGUCAGCUCGUGUCGUGAGAUGUUGGGUUAAGUCCCGCAACGAGCGCAACCCUUGAUCUUAGUUGCCUAGCUAUUCAGGUUGGGCGACGUACGUAAGGUGGACUGGACCGGUAGACGAAACCGGAGGAAGGUAGGGGAGUGACGGUACAAAUCAUCAUCGCCCUUAGUCGACCGUGGGCUACACACGUGCUACAAGUGGA
This 485-nucleotide ribosomal RNA is filed under the name uncultured bacterium. RNAcentral describes it as "bacterial SSU rRNA". It matches the Rfam family "Bacterial small subunit ribosomal RNA", at positions 776 to 1235 of the family's 1533-position model. The record is from RNAcentral.